AGUUGAGAAGGAAUAUAAGAGGAAGAACAUGUGUCUUUAAGGGAAGAUAAUUCUUCUGUUUUGUAAGUGCUGGAAUUGAGUACUUCUGAGACUCAGGCUAAGAGGAUCAGACCCUCUGGGCAGCAGAAGCACGGGAUACAAUCUGAUGCAUGGCCAUGACCUCAAGAGAAGAGUCUAGGCUGGACAUGCAGAUUCAGAAGUCAACAUCAUAAGCAUUCCAAGAUAAAAGUUCAAGUGAAAGUCGUUGAUGGAGGCCUGAAGUCCUCAUGCGGGGGACACUAGCUAAACCGUAGUACCAAGUUAGGAGCCCAGAAGAAGCAUCAUCCUUGUCCAAAUGCACCAUUGGGAUUUUAUAUAUUUUACCCCAGCUGCUUACUUUCCAGCCACCAAUGCUCAAG
Long non-coding RNA from Neogale vison (American mink), 398 nucleotides. RefSeq lists it as uncharacterized. Lineage: Eukaryota; Metazoa; Chordata; Mammalia; Carnivora; Mustelidae. The record is from RefSeq and is a predicted model, not a curated record. The transcript is spliced from 4 exons.